GGAGAGAUACCCAAGUGGUCGAAGGGUCCGCACUCGAAAUGCGGUAGCCAGUGCAAGCUGGGCAAGGGUUCGAAUCCCUUUCUCUCCGCCA
RNAcentral lists this transfer RNA (91 nucleotides) under Bacteroidales bacterium. RNAcentral's name for it is "tRNA-Ser". It matches the Rfam family "tRNA". Rfam says of the family: Transfer RNA (tRNA) molecules are approximately 80 nucleotides in length. Their secondary structure includes four short double-helical elements and three loops (D, anti-codon, and T loops). RNAcentral also lists the same sequence under 1 other name. Lineage: Bacteria; Pseudomonadati; Bacteroidota; Bacteroidia; Bacteroidales. The record is from RNAcentral.